RNAcentral lists this microRNA precursor (134 nucleotides) under Hordeum vulgare. Its description in RNAcentral is "microRNA MIR1122". It matches the Rfam family "MIR1120/MIR1122 microRNA precursor family". The record is from RNAcentral. Lineage: Eukaryota; Viridiplantae; Streptophyta; Magnoliopsida; Poales; Poaceae.
CUUGUACUCCCUCCGUCUCAAAAUUCUUGUCUUAAAUUUGUCUAGAUAUGAAUGUAUCUAGUCAUAUUUUAGUAUUUUGAUACAUUCAUCUAAACAAGCUUAAGACAAGAAUUUUGGGACGGAUGAAGUAUUUA